UUCCCAUGAAGAAAUAUUCACAUGUCUUACUAUCUGUCCUAGUGCCAGAGCCUGAAAAGGUGAACCCACUGGGGGAGAAGAGGAAAAUUGGUUCCAUAUAAAAAAUAGCCAAAUGGUAG
Microtus oregoni (creeping vole) is the source of this 119-nucleotide small nucleolar RNA. RefSeq annotates it as small nucleolar RNA SNORD22. NCBI's taxonomy places the organism in Eukaryota, Metazoa, Chordata, Mammalia, Rodentia, Cricetidae. The transcript has a single exon. The record is from RefSeq and is a predicted model, not a curated record.